Small nucleolar RNA from Papaver somniferum (opium poppy), 164 nucleotides. RefSeq annotates it as small nucleolar RNA snoR143. The record is from RefSeq and is a predicted model, not a curated record. The transcript has a single exon. NCBI's taxonomy places the organism in Eukaryota, Viridiplantae, Streptophyta, Magnoliopsida, Ranunculales, Papaveraceae.
GAGUGCGAAGGAUAUAUCCUUCCACUGGUGUAUACCAAUGAUGCUCACAGUAAAAACUAGUUGAUUUUUCAAUUGGUAGCGGCCAGACAACCGUAGGGAUGUGGUAUCCACAGAUAACGCGUUUAAUUCAGUCACGUUUUUUCUACUAACUACAUCUCACAUGU